This is a long non-coding RNA of Astatotilapia calliptera (eastern happy), 921 nucleotides long. The record is from Ensembl. Lineage: Eukaryota; Metazoa; Chordata; Actinopteri; Cichliformes; Cichlidae.
GAAACACUAAGCAUUCAGGAGGGUGCGUAACCAUAACACUGAACUAUGUUCCUGUUCGGCUCUUCCAUGAAGAUGUUACAUUUUUAAUUUUCGUUCUUUCUUCUUAGAUUAAGCUUCUGGAUUCAUCGCCGGUGAUACUGACACAUAGCCAGUGCUCCUGUGUGGCAGGCGCUGUUAUGUGCAAUCACACAGUGGCACUGCUCUUCCAAACAGCACACUACUCACAACUCAGAGUGCCCGUUGUCCCCCCUGUGCAUAGCUGCAUGGAAUCUGAACAGCAAUGGCACAAGCCACGGACAGUGGUAAUUUAAAUGAGGUUAAAGUUUUUGAAUUAGUCCAUGUUUACAUAUGAACAGCAACACCAUCCAUAGUAAAUGUGUCUUCUGUUAGGGUGUGAGGCCAGGACCCAUCAACUCCAUGAUCUUCACUAAGCCAGUACCAAAUAGGAUGGCCCAGACUGGAGUACGGAGUGGCUUCUACAGAGGCAUGGUGGGUCCGUUACCAGAUCCCUGCUUGUUCAGAAUAACGGAGGCAUAUGCAAAAUUUAAUAUUGAGGACAGGCCACUUGUGACCACAAUGAACAUGAGACCUGACAAGCCCCUUGUGGAAAGUGCCUUUGGGCUGGUGCAGGAGGGCAGUGUUCUGUCAUAUCAGCAGCCGGUUUUGACAACCCGGUACAUCACACUACACCGCGAUGCACCACCAACACCGCACUUGCCUCUGGAGGGGUAUGACAUCUUGCCAUCAGAUUGUGUGUUUGUGUGCUCAGAAGAAGAGCUUCUGCAUCUGAAAAGCUUGUCUGUAACUCUGGAAAUGGCUCACAAAAUAGAGGAAGCUACACGUGAGCAAAGCUCUUCGUCUGAGUGGCAUCAGCUCCGCAGGCCCAGAGUGACUGCCUCUAGGUUUCGGGAGGUGUGUCAC